CAGUGACGAAAGCGUGGGACUAUCUAAUAGAUAGAAAGCCUUAAUAUUUCCUAUUUUUUAUCCUUUGAAUAACUUUUCAACCGAUCAAACUAAUAUUUGUCUUAGGUUUCUAUAGUUUGACUUUUUUUGAUCGACCAUCGAAAAUGACUGUUCAGUUUGUGACAUUCUUAUAUUCGCGUCUGUUAACAAGUGUCGGUCACGAUGGAAAAUGCUAAGAGACAUCGCAACAGGAGAAACAACAAAGAUUUUGGUCCAAAGAGAACCUCCUAGACAGUGACAGUUCUGCCAUUUUAGUUCACAG
Molecule: long non-coding RNA, 301 nt
Organism: Sitophilus oryzae (rice weevil)
Lineage: Eukaryota; Metazoa; Arthropoda; Insecta; Coleoptera; Curculionidae
Exons: 3
Source: RefSeq, a predicted model, not a curated record